This 89-nucleotide non-coding RNA is filed under the name Halodesulfovibrio spirochaetisodalis. RNAcentral's name for it is "sRNA-Xcc1". It matches the Rfam family "sRNA-Xcc1". The record is from Rfam by way of RNAcentral. Lineage: Bacteria; Pseudomonadati; Thermodesulfobacteriota; Desulfovibrionia; Desulfovibrionales; Desulfovibrionaceae.
GGUCGGGAGUGCGGAGGCGAUGCAAUACCUUAACGGGAAAAACCUCCCGCCGUUCUGUGAGACGGUUUCGAGCUCCCGACCUUUUUAUA